This 465-nucleotide ribosomal RNA is filed under the name uncultured bacterium. Its description in RNAcentral is "partial 16S ribosomal RNA". It matches the Rfam family "Bacterial small subunit ribosomal RNA", at positions 338 to 795 of the family's 1533-position model. The record is from RNAcentral.
CCUACGGGCGGCAGCAGUAGGGAAUCUUCCACAAUGGGCGAAAGCCUGAUGGAGCAACGCCGCGUGGGUGAAGAAGGUCUUCGGAUCGUAAAACCCUGUUGUUAGAGAAGAAAGUGCGUGAGAGUAACUGUUCACGUUUCGACGGUAUCUAACCAGAAAGCCACGGCUAACUACGUGCCAGCAGCCGCGGUAAUACGUAGGUGGCAAGCGUUAUCCGGAUUUAUUGGGCGUAAAGGGAACGCAGGCGGUCUUUUAAGUCUGAUGUGAAAGCCUUCGGCUUAACCGGAGUAGUGCAUUGGAAACUGGGAGACUUGAGUGCAGAAGAGGAGAGUGGAACUCCAUGUGUAGCGGUGAAAUGCGUAGAUAUAUGGAAGAACACCAGUGGCGAAAGCGGCUCUCUGGACUGCAACUGACACUGAGGCUCGAAAGUGUGGGUAUCAAACAGGAUUAGAUACCCCUGUAGUC